UCCACCUCCUCCGGCUUUCCCUGUCGCUCACAUCCCUCUCAGUCCAUGGCUUCCGGCGCAUCCCCUCGCGGCGGCCACCACUCCUUGUCUCCUCCUAGGUUCUUGAUCUGGAGCGGGAGGGACAGACGAGGCUACAAGCGCCGGCAUGAUUGUCCACAGCACUGUCGCCGUCGUCCUCGACAGUGGGAGGGCGGGCCGCCAAGAAAGCCGGCUCUGUCUUGCUCUCGCGCCACUGUCCAUCCACCUGAGAAGCCCGUCCGCACACCUGUCAUUCACGCCCCUCCUCGGCUCAUUCUCAUCUCUGUCAGGCAGAUGAACUCCUGCUUCCUCUCUGUCUCCCUUUGAUUUUGUGCUUGUGCUGUACUGUGUGUUUGUGCAGUUGCUUUUUGAGCUACGGCUACUACUUGUGCUGCUAGAUGUGUGUGCUGGUUCUGGUGCUGCUAGCUGCUGCUGGUUGCUUGUGUUGCUACUGCUACUACCUGUUGCUGGUUGCUUCUUUAUUUGGUUAAUUGUGACACUGAAAAGCCUUUGUGAAAAGCAAAAAUUGAUGAGAAGGCUAUGAGCUGAUGAGAUGACCUUCAUUUUCAAUAUUUUAUUUAAUAAUUGAUGAAGGAUAUGUCAUAAAUUCAGUUGCUAACAUUUUCUCUAUGGUGUAUGUACCUAUUGUUCAUUGCAUUCGAGGGAGAGGACAACAAGAUUAAGAGAGCCUUGGGACGCGAAGGCAGUAGCAUGCAGCGCCAGGUCAAGUGCACCGACCUCGACGACAAGAGACCAGUACACUUAACAAGAGUAAGAGAGCCUUGGGACAACACUGGAUGAGGGCGUCGACUAAAGGACCGCGAAGACGUCUUCCUCCAAAAUCUUGCCGAGGAUUUUGUUGCAACGACACAGUGCUGACAAUUUUUGUUUUUGGAAUUUGUCAAUGAAAUUCUGCUCGAUCAGGGUUCUUAAAUAUAUGUUCACCAAUUCAGAUGAACUGCUUAUUUUAUGUGCAUACUGGAUAUUUGUCAUAUAUGUAGAAGGUUCUACAAUAUAUCAAAGAAAAACAAAACAGAGAGGAUGCUGGGGCUUGGGCAAGGGAGGCUGCGCUCAGUGCAGUACUGCGGUCUUUACUGCCUUUCACUGUUAAUUAAAUAUAUAUUCUCUUCAUAGUUCAUACAGUUUUAGGCUUUUAGCAGUAUGAAAAGUCACAGAUAAUGUGAUGGUGACAUUUGGGCUUAUACAAGUGUUAGUUGUCAGUCUCUGCCCGCAUGCAUUUGAACGUUGCCUUGGCCACGAUCCUUAAGCUUGUCAAAAGUUGUGGAUCGAUAGGCAUUGACAAAAAAAAUAUAAGCUCUAUGUUCUGAAAUACAGGUAGAGCAGCAGCUAUAGCACCCCUAGAGAGAUUGCGUUGAUUGAUUCUCAUCGUAUAUAUAACUCAACUAUUUAAAGUAUUCUAUAUACACUGAAAUCGUGCUCAUAAUUUUUUAAAGUAUUCUAUAUGCACUGAAAUCGAGCUCAUAAUUUUUUUAUCAUGUGCCUUUUCUACUAAAGAUCAUUACACUUCUCUUCAGUACAUCAAUGUUACUUCCAAAGCAGAGUCCCUCCUAGAGGACAGUUUCUUUUAUCAGAAGGGUGAGUGUUGUAUAUUUUUCUGUCCACUAAAUGAACUACUUCUGGUUACAUAUUGUGACAGAAUUAAGUAGGCAUAGGCUUGUUCGUUGAUUUUUAUACCGAAACUGAAUUGGUAUUGUGUUAAUACAUUAUAGUCAUCCUUGAAGGACAUGUGUUUUAUUGCCAUGCUUGCUUAAUAAUUGCUUGCUGAAGCAUUGGUCCUAAUUUACCACGGGUUUCGCUGGCGUUGCAUUUUCUUUUUGUAUAUGGUUGCUGCAGUGGCCAUUGAAUAGUGAUUCUAUCCAUUAGUAGUAUCUUGUUAUUAUGAAAGUUUGUGUAUUUUUUGUACAUAUGAAGGUUUGUGUAUUUUGUUCUCAGCUGCGUUGCUACAUAUAAAUUUGAGGCAAAUGAUGAUAAGGUUCAGACUCACACUUUUUCUGAUUUUAUCUUGUCAUCAUGAAGGUUUGUGUAUUUGUUUUUGUGCUGCAUAUAAAUUUGAGGAGAAUGAUUUUAUGGUUCAAAGAGACAGUUUAAUCAUAUUUGAGCUGCCAGCUUGCUUCAGCCAUGUGAUACCGGAGCCCGAGGUUGACAGUGUCCAAAUGACUGAACUUUUUCGCAACAUUAAUAGUACUUCCUCCAUCCGAAAAUGCUUGUCCCAAGCUUGUCUCUCAAAUGGAUGUAUCUAGCACUAACUUGGUCUAGAUACAUCUAUUUUAGGAACAUACUUUUUCGGACGGAGGGAGUAGUACUCUUGAUAAACAUAGCAAUCCUGACCUUUUUGUAUCGUUCGCCUGUUUGCAUGUUUAUAACAGGGGAAUUAGUCCGAGUGUUAUUGGUUCAGUUGCUACAGGUGGAAUAUAUCUUUGGUGUUAUUGAAUCUUUAACCAAGACAUGGCUGGAGGCUGGAGCACACUAAUCCCGAUUGAAUUUGUCAUCUCACUUUAUAGGUGGAGUAAUUGUAGACUCCCUCAUCACCUUUCCAGUGCUAUUGAUCGCUCACAGCUUGAAUCUGAAUGUGCUUCUUCCAGUCUAUGCUCCCUCUCUUUGGUUCAUUGGCCUCCCAAGACUACUUUGUAAGCUGUGGAUGUCAAUGUCAGUUCUUCUGCUGCAAAGUUGGGGAAAGAAUUGCAGUGCAAUCAAGUUUUGUCCGAGCACACAACAUCAGCGACGUGACGAUGAAGCAAUGACAUUGUCUGGCUAUUCAUACAAUUCUAUAGAAGAUGCAAUGGACGUUGCAACUGCUCGAGUAAUGAAAUAUAUGGAGACCAUGCGUGCCAAGGUAUUGAAAGACUAUAGUUACAACGAGCUGCAACAAAAAAAGGAAAGAGAACUGCAUCUGAUUGGUUUGUUAGGACAAAGAGAAAGAAAUCAAAGAAUAGGCUCUGAAGAUUAGAGAACUUAGCAAAGACUUUGCAGAUCAGGUUAAAAGCACUUCUUCUGAGAUUCACCGCCCAGCUAAAGGAAGUGUAUGCUCAGCCAAUUCCAUAAGUGGUCGCGAGCUCGACAAAGUGGCUAUAGAUAUUCACAAUGCAAUUGCUCAUCUUGGCCAGUUGAGUGAAAACUCUAUGCAGGUAAUCCAAAACACAUCGGUAUAUCCACGUAGGAGAGGAUCUACUUCCACAGCCUAUGUGCCUUCAGAAGAUGCCGAUACUACCAGCUACAACAGCCUUCUUUUUGAAUAUCAAGUGAUUACCUUUGUCUAGAGAAGAUCACUGCCAUAGUUCAUCUGCCAGUCUUUCCAGAGCUUCUAUCCUGUUGAUGGACUUUGAACUUAAGCUAUCCCCAGCUAUGUAUGUUAGUUGCGGCAAUCGCAUGUAUAUAGAUUAAACCAUCAGCUACGUUCUAUGUUGCGAGGCAAAUGUCAGUAGUCUCUCAAUAUAACAUGCAGCAGCUUAUUACGUAUUUCCUACGAACAUAUGUUCACUAUUAAUAAACCUA
Long non-coding RNA from Triticum dicoccoides, 3531 nucleotides. RefSeq lists it as uncharacterized. The record is from RefSeq and is a predicted model, not a curated record. NCBI's taxonomy places the organism in Eukaryota, Viridiplantae, Streptophyta, Magnoliopsida, Poales, Poaceae. The transcript has 5 exons.